CAGGUUAUACCGAUUAAAAGGAAUAAAAUGACAAUUAUAUAUAAAAUAUGUUGUGUACUCUAGUUUAUUAGGUUAAAUAGUUAGAUUUCGAAGGGAAAUUGCCAAAAAUACUAUUUUCAAAGUACCACUUUUCAUGUUUACACUAAUCACUUUUAGCACCAUCUUUAAUGAAGGGUAAAAACAUUUAUAACCAUUUGAUUAACAUUGACGAAAAAAAACAUAAGUUUAACUAAUCUAAACUUAAAACAUCGACUCUAAACCCUAAAUCAUCAACGUUAAACCCUAAACUAUGAAACAUCAACUCUAAACCCUAAACCCCGAAACAUCAACUCUAAACCCUAAACGUAAACCCUAAACCCUAAAACCCUAAACCUUCAAAUCUAAACCCUAAAACACCAAAUCUAGGAUUUUAGGGUUUAGGGUUUAGGAUUUAGGUUUAGAGUUUAGGGUUUAGAGUUGAAGGUUUAGGGUUUAGAGUUGAUGUUUUAGGGUUUAGGGUUAAUUUUUUAGGGUUUAGGGUUUAGAGUUUACUUUUUAGGGUUUAGGGUUUAGUGUUGAUAGUUUAGGGUUUAGUGUUGAUGAUAUAGGAUUUAGAGUUGAAGUUUAGGGUUUAGGGUUUAGAGUUGAUGUUUUAGGAUUUAGAGUUGAAGGUUUAGGUUUUAGGGUUUAGAGUUUAUGUUUCGAGGUAUAGGGUUUAGGGUUGAUGUUUCAGAGUUUAGGGUUCGUAUUUAUAAAAAAAAAUAGGGUUUAUGAUUGAUGGUUUGCGGUUUAGGGUUCGUAUUUCGAAAAAGAAAUAGGUUUUAGGAUUCAUGGUUUCGAAAAUUUGGCUAUCCAGACAUUCAAACUAAUAUAUUUGGAUAAUGUUUCAGCGGAUUAAUUAUAUUAUUACAUCAAAUGAAGAACACUUACAUAUAUGAUGAUGAUGUAAUGGUAGUCGUAGAAUUCUCAAUGUUAUUUUGCUUAUUUAAGUAUAUUCUGUCGACAAGAAAUAAAAAAGCAUAUUCGUUCAUUUCCCCAAGUUCAGAAAGAUAAAAUCAAAGCACUGGUUUUUUUUUUCUGGACAGCGCUAGAUUUCAAUUUAUAGUUUAUUCCAAACGAAGCUAUUAAUAAGUGUCGUGUAUUAUGGAAAACUAUACUUUACUUUCCCUUUUUAUAAAGCAACGUAUCUACCUUCUUUUAUUGUAUCUUUCCCAGUAAACUAACAUAUCCACAACAUUGAAUUCAUCAAUCACCACAAAAAAAGGAUGACAACAUUUUUUUUGUUAUCUAAAGAUAAUAAUUAUAUUAAACAAGUGAUAUGUAAAUGUUACACAACUAGCCAGCAAAAAACAUAUUUGUUCCAAAGUCAUAAACCGGUAAGGUGAAACAUACCUCCUAGAAACUAGAACAAAAUCAGCACAAACACACAUAAAUUUAAAAUAAAACAGAGAUGGAAACAAAACACUAUAAAUUUUUGAAAAAUAUACAAAAUCAACAAGGAAACGAAACAAGGCGAUACUAAAUGCCAGAAUGAGAGAGAAAGCAUUGAAGGUCACAAUUAUUUGGGAUGAAAACAAUUGUGGGAACCGAAAUUUGUACUGUAGAUUUCCUUUUAAAUAAGGAAAGUUAGGAAAAUUUUAAUUUCUCAAAGGUCCCGGAUAUCUGCUUAACCACACGCCAAGCAACCAGAACACGAAAUAAAGACGAGAAAAAUAAGAAAUCGAAAAGAGAGCAAAAUAGAUCUUAUUCCGAAUCCGCGUUUGAGCGUUACAACAAGGUAAGAGCCUGGGCUACGAGAGCUGUCGGCGAGACUCCUAGUUUUAAAACCCUAAGAUUGCAAGACCUAAUUGAGUCGCAGAUCGAAUAACAAAAACAAAAAGUUGCCUAAAAUUGCUCUAAGUGCUAAGUUUGUUCUGAAAAAGUUCUCCUCCUCUGUGCCUCUCACCUAGGACUCCUUAUAUACUCCUCCAAGGUCGGUUUUAACUUUUCUCUUCCUGCCCUUAAGCCGUCUUAAGUGAAAAAUUGAGAUAUACUAUUUUUUCCGAUCAUCAUGUUUAUCCGCGAAAACUUAACAUUUUUUCUGCGGAAACUUAUCUUUAUAUUUGUUUUUAUAAUAAAAACAUAAACCGCCAUAGUAUCUACGAGCUCAUUCUUAAAGAAUCGUAAGUGGGCUUGUAGUCGCGUUUUAGACCUCGUUGGGCCGUCUUUCGACAUGAAACGUUUGUUAAGAUUUUUCUUUUCGACAAAAACAAGUUCUCGCGGUUUUUAUCGUAAAUUUUCAAUGGUAACUUUGAUCGGAAUGAUGUGAGAAAUGAUAUGGCUGAGGUACAUGGGAGCUAGCAUUGAGGAACAUACGAGAAUGCACAGAUUUGGGUCGUACCCGUUGAUCGAUGUCCGAGACAGGUCGGUUGCUACGUAGCGACCGACCGAGUGGCUUGGUUAUAAACAUGUUGCAAUAAAGAUUUAUUUCAUUUAAUAACCUACAUAUGCACCGAAUGUUUUAUUUCAUAUCGUUGGAUUAGUACAGGAUUAUAACCUCACCCACAACCACUAAAUGCUAAAUAUUACUCCAAUCCCCUAGACCUCAAUCACUAAACUCAAUCCCAAAUUAAAAUUAUAAUAUUUAUUUAUAAAAUUUUGAAUUAAACUAAAAUCUGAAACUAGUCAAUAUUUUGAAAUAUUAAAUUGUACUAUAUAAAAAUGGAAAGUAUAAUAUAAUUGUAAAUUAAAAUCAUUUGUUUGAGUAUGAUUAACGAAAUGAUAAAAUUGAGUUUGUAAACCACUUGUGUAGGUGUGGUUAAAACUAUUAUUCAUAUCAAUGAUACAACUUCAAAACAUAGUACAUGUUUAUUUAUGGUAAAAUCACAUUUAUAUUCUACAUUCGUUAAAUAGAAUAGAACAAAAUAAUAUUUCAUUGCAACAUUUAAAAGAGGUGAGGAGACUAUAGGUGGCGAGGUGGAGGAAGAGGGGACGGGUGGCAGCUAUGAAAUAACCGGUGGCAGAGCAUGCUACAUAUGUCUAUAAUAUAAUAGAACAAGAAUCGGUCAUCUUCUCUGAUCUUUUUUUCAAAUACACAAGUAACCGAUGAAAAUAAUAGAAUAUAACAUAUAUAAAUAUUAUAGUCUCAUUCUGAUUCACGGUAUUCAAUACCCCCGUGGCCAUAGUUCAUUUUUGAAUGUAUACCAUGCAACAUCUCCAAAUGCUCGUUAUCUAACGUUAUCAUUAUCAGCUCUAUCCAACGAAGAUUGAAAUAAUUAUUAACAUGUUGCCGUCCAACUAGCUCAAACCAAACCAAGUUUUGACUAAUCUACUUGGCAAUUGUAACUCAUCCAUUCCUAGCCUAAAACAGACAAAGAAACUAUAAAGUUGUAAAGAUUACAAAAGUCCAUGUCAAUGUGUCAAACAUAUCAAGAACAACAUUAUGCAUAUAAUGGCACACAAAACGUGUCUACAUUUCCACAGUUUUUAUACUGUUAAAAGAGCAUAAGUAUAUUCCACAACAGUUACUUUACUAUUAGCACAACAAAUAUACUAUACUACCUUUGAACAGAUAGUAAUUGUAUUACAUGACUACCAUCGACAAACAUCCUCAACAGAUGUAGUUGCACGCACGACAUGAACAAUAGUGAGUUAUGUUCUAGUACAAGAAUUAGAAAAUCAAUUUCGUUUACAUGCGUUCGUAUAUCUAUUUUAUACAAGAACUUAUAAUAAUAUACAUACUAACCAUCCAUAUAUAUAUAUUGUUCUAUUUAGAGUUCAUUGUCUAUUCUGAUUUCAAGUGGAAAAAAAAAACUGUUCUAUUUAAAUCUGUUCAUAUGGCAUCAACCGGUGUUUUCCAUUUAACUUCUACUAACAAGUAUUUUUUUUUUGCUUAGAUGUACUUAAUUUUUCUCCUCCAAUAAAAGAACUAACGGUGGCUGAAAAAACAUCUGUAUAAAACAGCGGUUAUUGAAGAAGAAAUUUUGUUGUUGGUACGGUACAAUAGGUGAAAGAAAAGAAGAGACACUGGGAGGAAGUAAAGAAAAAAGGUUUGCAACGGUGGCUGGAAGAGAAGAUGGGUUGCGACGAGUAAAAUAAUAAGUGGUGAUGGUUCGAUUAUACAGGUGAAGGUGAAUGUGGUGUUAUGACCGGAAAUGAAAUUGAUGGAAUAAUGAAGGAGAAGAAUCAUGUCUUUUGGCUUCAUAUUUUUAUCACCUAAUAGUGUAAACAUGUGAAGAAGAAUAAAACAAGAUAUAAUAAUUACAAAUAUCUAAUAAUUAUUUUAAUUUAUAUUUUUAACAGGUUAUACCGAUUAAAAGGAAUAAAAUGACAAUUAUAUAUAAAAUAUGUUGUGUACUCUAGUUUAUUAGGUUAAAUAGUUAGAUUUCGAAGGGAAAUUGCCAAAAAUACUAUUUUCAAAGUACCACUUUUCAUGUUUACACUAAUCACUUUUAGCACCAUCUUUAAUGAAGGGUAAAAACAUUUAUAACCAUUUGAUUAACAUUGACGAAAAAAAACAUAAGUUUAACUAAUCUAAACUUAAAACAUCGACUCUAAACCCUAAAUCAUCAACGUUAAACCCUAAACUAUGAAACAUCAACUCUAAACCCUAAACCCCGAAACAUCAACUCUAAACCCUAAACCCUAAACCCUAAACCCUAAACUUUCAAAUCUAAACCCUAAAACAUCAACUCUAAACCCUAAACAUAAACCCUAAACCCUAAAUCUAAACUUAAAACAGCAACUUUAAACCCUAAAUCAUCAACUUUAAACUUUAAACCGUGAAACAUCAACUCUAAACCCUAAACCCCGAAACACCAACUCUAAACACCAACUCUAAAUCCUAAACCCUAAAACCUUCUAAACCCUAGAACAUCAACUCUAAACCCUAAACCCUAAACCAUAUAUUUUUCUGAAAUUCAAACCCUAAACACUAAAACCCUAAACCUUCAAAUCUAAACCUUAAAACAUCAACUCUAAACCCUAAACGUAAACCCUAAACCCUAAAAC
RNAcentral lists this long non-coding RNA (4968 nucleotides) under Brassica napus (rape). RNAcentral describes it as "long non-coding RNA (BNAP_LNC000123)". The record is from RNAcentral. Lineage: Eukaryota; Viridiplantae; Streptophyta; Magnoliopsida; Brassicales; Brassicaceae.